CCUACGGGUGGCAGCAGUGGGGAAUAUUGCACAAUGGGGGAAACCCUGAUGCAGCGACGCCGCGUGAGUGAAGAAGUAUUUCGGUAUUUAAAGCUCUAUCUGCAGGGCAGCAAAUGACGGUACCUGACUACGAAGCCCCGGCUAACUACGUGCCAGCAGCCGCGGUAAUACGUCGGGGGCAAGCGUUAUCCGGAUUUACUGGGUGUAAAGGGGGCGUAGACGGCAACACAAGGCUGGAGUGAAAUGCCGGGGCUUAACCCCGGUACUGCUUUGGAAACUGCGGAGCUGGAGUGCAGGAGAGGUAAGUGGAAUUCCUAGUGUAGCGGUGAAAUGCGUAGAUAUUAGGAGGAACACCAGUGGCGAAGGCGGCUUACUGGACUGUAACUGACGUUGAGGCUCGAAAGCGUGGGGAGCAAACAGGAUUAGAUACCCUAGUAGUC
RNAcentral lists this ribosomal RNA (440 nucleotides) under uncultured bacterium. RNAcentral describes it as "partial 16S ribosomal RNA". It matches the Rfam family "Bacterial small subunit ribosomal RNA", at positions 338 to 795 of the family's 1533-position model. The record is from RNAcentral.